UACGGACUGAAAAUCCGUUGGCUUUUUAGACCGUGAGGGUUCAAGUCCCUCUACCCCCA
RNAcentral lists this transfer RNA (59 nucleotides) under Gymnomitrion obtusum. RNAcentral's name for it is "partial tRNA-Leu". It matches the Rfam family "tRNA", at positions 25 to 71 of the family's 71-position model. From Rfam's summary of the family: Transfer RNA (tRNA) molecules are approximately 80 nucleotides in length. Their secondary structure includes four short double-helical elements and three loops (D, anti-codon, and T loops). Lineage: Eukaryota; Viridiplantae; Streptophyta; Jungermanniopsida; Jungermanniales; Gymnomitriaceae. The record is from RNAcentral. RNAcentral also lists the same sequence under 1 other name.